AGAUUACAAAACAGAAGCCCUUUACAGAACAGAACUGUGUCUAGGAAGAGGAACGUCCUUUUGACUUUUGUCUUCAAAAUGGGUUCCAGCAGGGGCGUGGACAAGCUGUGUAUGCUAGGCUGCAGCGCACUGAAAGGUAUCAGAUUCAAGGUAACACGGCGUGACGAGGGAAGUUCAUUUUCUCACCUGAAACUCGGAGUGACUCUCUGAGCUACUGAUCGCACUCCACAAAGGGGAGGCUGACCGGGGCGACCUCACUCAUUAUGGUGAACAGGCUCCACAAAUGGCUGUGUUGGGACCACACUUUCUGACCUUGGAAACUGCCUGACCUCACGAAGCUGCAUCAGCCUGUGAAAGGGAGCUCACACUUCUUCCAGAGUGCUGGACCCAUGGGAGAUCAGCGUACAGCAGCAGCCAGCAAACACAAGUGCAGCUGACUGACUUUAUUUUGAGUUUGUGCUUUUAGAGGAAGGCAUGUGGGCCUUUCUUACCUUUUCUGCCAGCUCCAAUUUCCAAAUGUCCAGGACUGAAUUUUGCAAUUGAAACUCAAAAUUUCAUGUUUAAUCUUUUUCUAUUAAAUGUGUUCAUUUGG
Molecule: long non-coding RNA, 592 nt
Organism: Alexandromys fortis (reed vole)
Lineage: Eukaryota; Metazoa; Chordata; Mammalia; Rodentia; Cricetidae
Exons: 2
Source: RefSeq, a predicted model, not a curated record